This 67-nucleotide transfer RNA is filed under the name Mooreobdella quaternaria. Its description in RNAcentral is "tRNA-Ser". Lineage: Eukaryota; Metazoa; Annelida; Clitellata; Hirudinida; Erpobdellidae. The record is from RNAcentral.
AAAGAGUAGCGUGGGCAAUUAGAAGCUUCUAACUUCCAAAAGAUAGUUCAAGUCUAUCAACUCUUUA